This 359-nucleotide long non-coding RNA is filed under the name Trifolium pratense (red clover). Its description in RNAcentral is "long non-coding RNA (TPRA_LNC001237)". Lineage: Eukaryota; Viridiplantae; Streptophyta; Magnoliopsida; Fabales; Fabaceae. The record is from RNAcentral.
GGAGAUAAUUAAAAGAAGAAAAAAAAGUUCCAGGGAAAGGUAGCUUUCAAAUCUGCUUUGGAUCAGUGCUUUUUUGUCAAACAAAAAUCCUUUGUGAAUACCCUUAAUCUUUUUAAUAAGAAAAAACCCAGGGUGAAGAGGAAAUGUAAAAUAGAAGAUAGUUCUAUACAAAUAAUUAAGGGUUGAGAAUGGCCCUCAUGGCUGAUUGCUUAUAUAUCAUUCCUGCCUAUCCUCUUUUCUCUAUUUCUAAAAAUCUUGAAAAUUACCAAUACAAGACCAAAAUAUUUGGAGGACUCUUCUGACGAAACAAAUUAUUGUCAGCAAAGUUGUUUUUUUUCUUCAAAUCCAAAGAAUUUUGA